Molecule: ribosomal RNA, 360 nt
Filed under: Clostridioides difficile
Lineage: Bacteria; Bacillati; Bacillota; Clostridia; Peptostreptococcales; Peptostreptococcaceae
Description: bacterial LSU rRNA
Rfam family: Bacterial large subunit ribosomal RNA
Source: RNAcentral
CAAGGUGAGAGAUACGGAGGUAGAGCACUGAAUGUCCUAGGGGGUAUUGCACCUACCGAAGACUAUCAAACUCCGAAUGCCGUCAUCUUAUACUUGGGAGUCAGACUGUGGGUGAUAAGAUUCAUAGUCGAAAGGGCAACAGCCCAGAUCGUCAGCUAAGGUCCCUAAAUGUAAGUUAAGUGGUAAAGGAUGUGGGAUUGCACAGACAACCAGGAUGUUGGCUUAGAAGCAGCCACUCAUUCAAAGAGUGCGUAAUAGCUCACUGGUCGAGUGAUCCUGCGCCGAAGAUUUCCGGGGCUAAAACUUACUACCGAAGCUACGGCAUCAGUAAUGAUGGGUAGGGGAGCUUCCCAUACGGGU